Long non-coding RNA from Piliocolobus tephrosceles (Ugandan red Colobus), 2125 nucleotides. RefSeq lists it as uncharacterized. The transcript is spliced from 3 exons. The record is from RefSeq and is a predicted model, not a curated record. Lineage: Eukaryota; Metazoa; Chordata; Mammalia; Primates; Cercopithecidae.
GCAACUUCUACCUCCCAGGUUCAAGCAAUUCUCCUGCCUCAGCCUCCCUAGUAGCUGGGAUUACAGGACAAGAAUGAGGGAGAGAUUUGACCCAGAAUAAAGAAGCAGAAGGUGCAGCUUCACGCCAUGCGACACGGGCCCCACAGCCACACUCCUCUCAAGGCUCAAAAUCAGUUGCAAUGCUGGAUGGGAGUGCACCGUAGCGCGUCCUUCCAGGCUGGGAUCCUCCACCCACUUGGAGCUGAUCCCCGCAGCCAGGCUCAGGCCCCAUGCCUGCCAUCCCUGCACACCGACUCCCAGAGGCCCGCGUGACACCAGACUCUUGUGCCGCCAGGUCUUCCUCCCAUCCCCCUUUCACCAUCUGGGAGUGCUAUGGCCAAGCUGCCUCACAUCCUACCACGUGGCAACCCCACUGCGAACUUCCCAAAACAUCAGACAACUGCAUUUUUUAGGAUGGAAUGAAUACAUUCUCAGAGAACUUUCCUAUGGAAUUCUUUGACGGCUUAUUUAACUUAUCCUGGUUUAUUUAUCGGGCUCUUAGUCAUAAAUUUCAGAAGCCAUGUUUCUUCAAGGUCUGAAGAGAAAAUGUGUGACUGAAAUGUGCUGAGUGUCAUUUUCCUUUCUGUCCUCUCCCUGCCCCUUCCUCUCCCUCUCCCCCACCACAUCUGCCCCAGGAGCUCCCACCCUGAGGGCAUGGAGGUCGAGAUGUCCGGGAGCCACUGAGGAACCUGAGGCAGGUGUCUAGUGCCUCUGUCCCCGGACAGGACUCCACAGAGGCCAUGGCACAGGGGCGACUCAGCCACUCCAGGCCAGGCCAAUGGCCAAUGGGUCCCCAAGCGCCCUGGGAGCCCACAAAGGACUUCAGUCUCUAUCUGGUGGGUGAAACGAGGCCACUGCAGAUUGUGAGCAGAGCUGACAUCCACAGGUGGGACCAGGACCCAACCCAGGGCCAGGAAGUGAUGGAGGUGGCCACCACACACCAAGCAAUUAAUCCACCAACAUUUGCCCAACAUUUGCAGAGAACCGUCUAUGUAGCAGGCCCUGCAAAAGACACAGGAAGUUACACUCCACUGCAAAGACACACGUAUGCAUGAGGUACGUGUAAGGUCAUGCACUGCGACCUCUGCAACAGAUGGACAGAGUUCUGUGCAAGCCCCUACAGUGAGCUGAGCCCAGAGCCUCGGACAGGGCCCAGUGCCAGCUGUGUGCACGGGGUCAGUACGGAAACCAAUGUCAGCUGGGGAGACCAAGGCCAGUCCAAGUAGCAGGUGAUAUUUGACCUGGGCCUUUAAAAAUAGUAAGUAAUGUAAAUGACAAGUUAACAGGUGCAGCACAUCAACAUGCCACAUGUAAACAUAUGUAACAAACCUUCACAUUGUGCACAUGUACCCUAGAACUUAAAGUAUAAUUUUAAAAAAUAAUUAAUUUUAAAAAAUGAGUCAGUGUCGAUAGUGAAGCCUCGGGUAACUGAUUCAGAAGUCGCUCCAGGCAGAAGCAGGAUGUCACAACAAUAGCCACAUUUUGCAGAGAUUUCACAGGAAGGUUUCAAACCCAGAGGGAUUUCUCCUCAGCCCUGAGAGCAUGAAAUUAAACUGAACAUUGCAGCUGAGAUGCGGGGGAUUCGUCUGUCUUUGCAGUGAGGGAAGGGGCCAGCACUCUAUCCGGGAAAGAGCUGCCCAUGGACACCACCACCCAACAGUCUCCCGUUCUGUACACAAGAACCCAUCACAUCAUCCUAUACCAAGGACUGUCUAUUAAUUCCCUAUUUCUCAGCCUCUGCUGGUGAAGUUUCUGCCUCUUACUUCUGAAGUCCAAGCAGUGAAGAGCCCUUGGCCCACACAGGUCUCAGGGUGGCAGAAACAAAAAGGCAGAUUGGAGUCUACGAACAGAACCUCUGGCAGCCGUCAGGUGCCACCGGCACAGGAAUCUACUUACGUGAGACACGGAGGGGAGGCUCCCUCUAACUUCCAACAGGAAUGCAAAAUGUGCCAGGCCGGGCGCGGUGGCACACGCCUGUGGUCCCAGUUACUUGGGAAUCUGAGGCGGGGGGAUCUCUUGCACCCAGGAGCUUGAAGCUGUCAUGAUCCGUGAUUGCACCACCACACUCCAGCGUGGACAACGGCGU